This 254-nucleotide ribosomal RNA is filed under the name uncultured bacterium. RNAcentral describes it as "partial 16S ribosomal RNA". It matches the Rfam family "Bacterial small subunit ribosomal RNA", at positions 524 to 776 of the family's 1533-position model. The record is from RNAcentral.
UGCAGAGGGUGCGAGCGUUGUUCGGAAUUACUGGGCGUAAAGCGCGCGCAGGCGGCUUUUUAAGUCCGACGGUGAAAUGCCGGGGCUCAACCCCGUGCCCGCCGCGGAUACUGGGAAGCUGGAGACGAGUAGAGGCAAGCGGAAUUCCGGGUGUAGCGGUGGAAUGCGUAGAGAUCCGGAAGAACACCGGAGGCGAAGGCGGCUUGCUGGGCUCGGUCUGACGCUGAGGCGCGAAAGCGUGGGGAGCGAACAGG